GAAGCCGGCCGCCGCCACCCGCCGCCGCACCGGAGGAAUUUUCGACUGCUGAUCGAGGUAAAUUUCGUACCCCCGACUCGUUUUUCCACGCUGAUUCCUCCUGUGGCCAAAUCGGAGCCAAAAUCCCGGCCAAACGGCUGGAAUACACGGCCGAAGCCCAGCGGCGCCGCCGCGCCCCUUCUCGAUUUUUGCCUCCGAUGAGGCCCUUCUCGGCCUCCGUUUGAUGCAAUUUUUAUAUCACCGUGAUCACCAUUCUUUUCUCUACAGGUUGACCGGAGCCGAAUCACCAAAACACGAACCUCGCCGGAGAGCCGCCACACCCGAGAGCGCCGCCGCCGGUAAGCUCCGUUUUUUCCGUGAUUUUUUGGCCCCCCGAGGGCCCUAGGGUUGUUUUCUUGCAGGGACCGAUGCGAGUGUGGCCGAAAACAGCCAACCCGAGGCGAAUCGCCGCCGCCAGCGGUGGUGCCGUCGUCGGAGCACGGCGGAGCCGCCGUGCCGGAGUUGCGAUUUGGG
This 513-nucleotide long non-coding RNA is filed under the name Carica papaya (papaya). RNAcentral describes it as "long non-coding RNA (CPAP_LNC003151)". The record is from RNAcentral. Lineage: Eukaryota; Viridiplantae; Streptophyta; Magnoliopsida; Brassicales; Caricaceae.